CAUGCAAGUGGAGCGACGAACCAGGGCUUGCCCUGGAGCAAAGCCGCGAACGGGUGAGUAACACGUGGGUAACCUACCCCAAUGACUGGGACAACCCGAGGAAACUCGGGCUAAUACCGGAUGUGCUCAGCGUCCAUCAGGACGGUGAGGAAAGGAAGCUUCGGCCUCCGCAUCGGGAGGGGCCCGCGGCCCAUUAGCUAGUUGGUGAGGUAACGGCUCACCAAGGCUGCAAUGGGUAGCUGGUCUGAGAGGACGAUCAGCCACACUGGGACUGAGACACGGCCCAGACUCCUACGGGAGGCAGCAGUGGGGAAUCUUGCGCAAUGCGCGAAAGCGUGACGCAGCAACGCCGCGUGGGGGAAGAAGGCUUUCGGGUCGUAAACCCCUUUCAGUAGGGACGAAGGUGUGGCGGUGAAUAGCCGUCCACACUGACGGUACCUGCAAAAGAAGCCCCGGCUAACUACGUGCCAGCAGCCGCGGUAAUACGUAGGGGGCUAGCGUUGUCCGGAAUUAUUGGGCGUAAAGAGCACGUAGGCGGCCCGGUUAGUCCGCUGUAAAAGUCAAAGGCUCAACCUUUGAAUGCCGGUGGAUACUGCCAGGCUAGAGUCCGGAAGAGGCGA
RNAcentral lists this ribosomal RNA (620 nucleotides) under uncultured bacterium. RNAcentral describes it as "bacterial SSU rRNA". It matches the Rfam family "Bacterial small subunit ribosomal RNA", at positions 54 to 660 of the family's 1533-position model. The record is from RNAcentral.